Molecule: ribosomal RNA, 265 nt
Filed under: uncultured Desulfobulbus sp.
Lineage: Bacteria; Pseudomonadati; Thermodesulfobacteriota; Desulfobulbia; Desulfobulbales; Desulfobulbaceae
Description: partial 16S ribosomal RNA
Rfam family: Bacterial small subunit ribosomal RNA
Source: RNAcentral
CCAGCAGUUCGGCUGGGCACUCUAAAGGGACUGACCGGUGUUAAACCGGAGGAAGUGGGGAUGACGUCAAGUCCUCAUGGCCUUUAUGACCAGGGCUACACACGUACUACAAUGGCCGAUACAAAGGGCAGCGACACGUGCGAGGUGAAGCCAAUCCCGUAAAAUCGGUCUCAGUCCGGAUUGGAGUCUGCAACUCGACUCCAUGAAGUUGGAAUCGCUAGUAAUCGUGGAUCAGCAUGCCACGGUGAAUACGUUCCCGGGCCUU